UACGUAGGGGGCAAGCGUUGUCCGGAUUUAUUGGGCGUAAAGAGCGUGUAGGCGGCUAGGUAGGUCCGUUGUGAAAACUCGAGGCUCAACCUCGAGACGUCGAUGGAAACCAUCUAGCUAGAGUCCGGAAGAGGAGAGUGGAAUUCCUGGUGUAGCGGUGAAAUGCGCAGAUAUCAGGAGGAACACCGAUUGCGAAGGCAGCUCGCUGGGACGUUACUGACGCUGAGACGCGAAAGCGUGGGGAGCAAACAGG
This 253-nucleotide ribosomal RNA is filed under the name uncultured bacterium. RNAcentral describes it as "partial 16S ribosomal RNA". It matches the Rfam family "Bacterial small subunit ribosomal RNA", at positions 524 to 776 of the family's 1533-position model. The record is from RNAcentral.